CGUUACCUGCAAAUAUAUGACAGUAGAUGAAUAACAAUGUCAACUAAAAAUCUCAACUAAAAUUUAUAGGAUAAUUACAACCAAAAGUUAAUGCUCACCGACGCUAUCGAAUCCAAGUAUGUCAUUGCCAACAGAGCUAGUCCGUCCAGUUUCAGCUUCAUGUUUGUGACGAAAUAACUUUUGACGUGCCAGACCUCUUCCAUUGUCAAGCUCGCCAUGAGAAAUCUUGUCGAUCUAGUCGCCUUCUUACUAGAUAUUGUCCUGUUAAACCAUGGUCAACUUUACUUUGGCGUAGAAGUACACAAUCAGCCUCCAAUGUCGCAGCAAGGGAUUGUAAAGUGGCAACUGAUGCGUCAUAUUCAUCCUCCUUUAAUCCAUCUUCAGAUCCAUCUGAAAAUAUUAUAUAAGAAUUUAAUAAGUCCUCUUAAAUAAUUUUCAAUUGAUACAACACAUCAUACUAUAACAUGUUUUUUAAUCAUCCAAUUAAGAUUGAUACUUGCCUUCAGCAAUACCAAUGUCAAAAAUGGUCUCGCUGCCUCCAUCCUGAAUCCUUUCUUUUAGCUUUCUCAACAACAGUUCAUAUUGAUCCUCAGAUGGACUAACUAAGACAUUCUAAAAUUUAUAUAAAUUGUAUUAUUAUAAAAUACUAUUAAACAGUUAAAAGAAAAA
Odontomachus brunneus is the source of this 669-nucleotide long non-coding RNA. RefSeq lists it as uncharacterized. The record is from RefSeq and is a predicted model, not a curated record. Lineage: Eukaryota; Metazoa; Arthropoda; Insecta; Hymenoptera; Formicidae. The transcript has 2 exons.